UACGUAGGGUGCGAGCGUUGUCCGGAAUUACUGGGCGUAAAGAGCUCGUAGGUGGUUUGUCGCGUUGUUCGUGAAAACUCACAGCUUAACUGUGGGCGUGCGGGCGAUACGGGCAGACUGGAGUACUGCAGGGGAGACUGGAAGUUCCUGGUGGUAGCGGUGGAAUGCGCAGAUAUCAGGAGGAACACCGGUGGCGAAGGCGGGUCUCGUGGGCAGUAACUGACGCUGAGGAGCGAAAGCGUGGGGAGCGAACAGG
RNAcentral lists this ribosomal RNA (256 nucleotides) under uncultured bacterium. RNAcentral describes it as "partial 16S ribosomal RNA". It matches the Rfam family "Bacterial small subunit ribosomal RNA", at positions 524 to 776 of the family's 1533-position model. The record is from RNAcentral.